RNAcentral lists this transfer RNA (75 nucleotides) under Mycolicibacterium sphagni. RNAcentral describes it as "tRNA-Pro". It matches the Rfam family "tRNA". From Rfam's summary of the family: Transfer RNA (tRNA) molecules are approximately 80 nucleotides in length. Their secondary structure includes four short double-helical elements and three loops (D, anti-codon, and T loops). The record is from RNAcentral. Lineage: Bacteria; Bacillati; Actinomycetota; Actinomycetes; Mycobacteriales; Mycobacteriaceae.
CUGGUUGUAGCUCAGCUUGGUUAGAGCGCUCGCUUUGGAUGCGAGGGGUCGCAUGUUCAAAUCGUGCCAGCCAGA